GGUAUUGAAAUAAGAUUUUAAAUGAGUGCUAAGAGAAUGAUUAAACAAUUAAAAGCUUUCUUUAAUUAAAAAAUUAAAUUUAAUUUUUUUUAGUGCAAAAGCAAAAAUAAAAUUUAGGGACAAGAAGACCCUAUGAAUUUUUAUUGUUAAUAAUUAAAAUUUAAGUUAUUAAUAAUUUAAUUGGGGCGAUAAAAAAAGAAUAAGUAUCUUUUUAGUUAUAAAAUAAGUUCCGUUUUUAGCGAUUAAAUGAAAUAAAUACUCUAGGGAUAACAGCGUAAUAAUUUUGGAUAGUUCAUAUAGAUAAAAUAGUUUGCGACCUCGAUGUUGGAUUAGGAUUCUUUUUUGGUGAAGAA
This 353-nucleotide ribosomal RNA is filed under the name Ixodes scapularis (black-legged tick). RNAcentral's name for it is "partial 16S ribosomal RNA". The record is from RNAcentral. Lineage: Eukaryota; Metazoa; Arthropoda; Arachnida; Ixodida; Ixodidae.